CACGUAGGGGGCAAGCGUUGUCCGGAUUUAUUGGGCGUAAAGAGCUCGUAGGCGGUCUGUCGCGUCUGCUGUGAAAACUCAGGGCUUAACCCUGAGCUUGCAGUGGGUACGGGCAGACUAGAGUGCGGUAGGGGAGACUGGAAUUCCUGGUGUAGCGGUGAAAUGCGCAGAUAUCAGGAGGAACACCGGUGGCGAAGGCGGGUCUCUGGGCCGUAACUGACGCUGAGGAGCGAAAGCAUGGGGAGCGAACAGG
Molecule: ribosomal RNA, 253 nt
Filed under: uncultured bacterium
Lineage: Bacteria
Description: partial 16S ribosomal RNA
Rfam family: Bacterial small subunit ribosomal RNA
Source: RNAcentral